UACGGAGGAUCCGAGCGUUAUCCGGAUUUAUUGGGUUUAAAGGGUGCGCAGGCGGGAGAUUAAGUCGGCGGUGAAAUUUUGCAGCUCAACUGUAAAAGUGCCUUCGAAACUGGUUUCCUUGAGUGUAGAUGAAGUAGGCGGAAUUUGUGGUGUAGCGGUGAAAUGCAUAGAUAUCACGAGGAACUCCGAUUGCGCAGGCAGCUUACUAAACCAUAACUGACGCUCAGGCACGAAGGCGUGGGGAUCAAACAGGAUUAGAUACUCGGGUAGU
Molecule: ribosomal RNA, 271 nt
Filed under: uncultured prokaryote
Description: partial 16S ribosomal RNA
Rfam family: Bacterial small subunit ribosomal RNA
Source: RNAcentral